GUCUCUGUAUCGCAAUAAAUAGCGCUUUGGAAUUCUAAUCCAAAAGUCGUGGGUUCGAAUCCCAUCGAGGAUA
Non-coding RNA from Trichonephila clavata, 73 nucleotides. NCBI's taxonomy places the organism in Eukaryota, Metazoa, Arthropoda, Arachnida, Araneae, Nephilidae. The record is from the annotation of a GenBank genome assembly.